This 1676-nucleotide ribosomal RNA is filed under the name Strigea robusta. Its description in RNAcentral is "bacterial SSU rRNA". The stretch from base 1 to 365 matches the Rfam family "Eukaryotic small subunit ribosomal RNA", at positions 1473 to 1831 of the family's 1831-position model. The record is from RNAcentral. Lineage: Eukaryota; Metazoa; Platyhelminthes; Trematoda; Diplostomida; Strigeidae.
UUAGAUGUCCGGGGCCGCACGUGCGCUACAAUGACGGUGCCAACGAGCAUGGAAACCUGGCCCGAAAGGGUUGGGCAAACUUUUCAUCACCGUCGUGACUGGGAUCGGGGCUUGCAAUUAUUCCCCGUGAACGAGGAAUUCCUAGUAAGUGCAAGUCAUAAGCUUGCGCUGAUUACGUCCCUGCCCUUUGUACACACCGCCCGUCGCUACUACCGAUUGAAUGGUCAAGCUGAGGUAAUCGGAUUGGUACUGUUUUAGCGGCUCUGUCGCUUGACUGGUAUCGAGAAGAUGACCAAACUUGAUCAUUUAGAGGAAGUAAAAGUCGUAACAAGGUUUCCGUAGGUGAACCUGCGGAAGGAUCAUUACAAGUCCCUAUCUGAAACUGAUCGGGCUCGGCUUCGGCUGGGUUCGGAACUGAUGCGUUGUAUCAGCAAUUGCGUUGGUACAGCGUGUCAUGGAAUUGACGGAUGGGCUCCUUGUGGGCCCGCGGAUUAUACUGCUGACAUAUGAAUGGAAUUGACGGAUGAGUCUUCUGCAAAUGCAGGGCUCGCGAAAACUCGGUCAUACCUGAGGGUAGUAGAGUAACAUCUGCUGCAUCUCACAAGUAUGGCCCACAUUUGGUGGGGUGCCUAUCCUGUCUGAUACCCUGAUGGUGUGCUUGUGGCUUCGGCUGCCAGUUACUGCCAAGGGUGACAGGAUAGUACUACUUUUAUAGUAGUGCAAGGCUCAAUGAGGAGUGUGGGACUACUUGUCCAGCUCCCGCCCCAUUUUGUUGUUUCAACCACCAUUUUACACUGUUUAAGUUGGUUGGGUCGGCUUGUCCGGCUUGGCUAGCUGCAAACGCAUGCCUCCAGACAUCUCGUAUGACUGGUACGCAUGUACAGUCGCCUGGCGGUGCCUCAUCCUGGGCUAGACUGCAAACCAAUAUGUUCUCAUUAGUUCGGUUUACCGGGCUAGUGGGUACAUUGUCGUACAACUCUGAGCGGUGGAUCACUCGGCUCGUGUGUCGAUGAAGAGUGCAGCCAACUGUGUGAAUUAAUGCGAACUGCGUACUGCUUUGAACAUCGACAUCUUGAACGCAUAUUGCGGCCGCGGGAUAUCCCGUGGCCACGUCUGGCCGAGGGUCGGCUUAUCAUUUAUCACGACGCCCAAAUAGUCGUGGCCUGGAUGUGUGCCAGCUGGCUUGAUUUCCCCAUUUUAUGGGGUGCUGUGCUAUGGCUCCUUCCUAAUGUGUCCGGUUACAUCUAACCUAGGAUUGUGUUCCUGAGUUGGGAUGUGGCGUUGGAUAUUGUAUGAGUCGUGGCUCAAUGACCUUGAUCGCGCUCAUGCCUUGUUCACGUUGCAUUCUUUCUUGGUUGCCUUUCCUUUGUCUGGGCAAUGUAAUCGAUGCAGUGUGCUUAUGCACCUAACCUAUUUCAAUGACCCUGACCUCGGAUCAGACGUGAAUACCCGCUGAACUUAAGCAUAUCACUAAGCGGAGGAAAAGAAACUAACCAGGAUUCCCCUAGUAACUGCGAGUGAAGAGGGAUCAGCCCAGCACCGAAGCCUGUGGCCGUUUGGCUGCUAGGCAAUGUGGUGUUCAGGUCGUCUUUUGGCAUUACUGCUCCAUCCUAAGUCCAGCACUGAGUAUGGCAACUGGAAUGGCCCAAGGAGGGUGAAAGGCCCGUGGGGGUGGA